CAGCAGAUGGACUUUGUCCAGCAAAUGGACUUCAUGCAACCCUCUCUCUCUCCUCUUUCCAGGUGUCUCACUGACCUGCGAAAUCUGCAGUGGAGAUACCAACUGCACGGGUGAGAAGAAGGCUUGCCCAGAGGGUCAAGACGCAUGUGCCAUUAAUUUGAUGCAAGGCUUCCGAGGCACCAACAAAUUUUGGACCGUCAGUAAGAACUGUACCUCGUCCUUUAUCUGCCACUUAGAGCCGGUGGAUGUGGCUCUAGGUGAAGGAAAAUCUUUCAAGGCAGAUAUUUCCUGCUGUGUGGAGAAUAAUUGCAUACCAGCCUUUCCAAAAUUACCAAGAUCAGCAAAAGUGCACAAUGGAAAAAUUUGCCCAACGUGCUUUUCAGCGACAAAGGAUUGCUCUGAAAAACCUGUGUAUUGCAGUGGAAGUGAUAUUUACUGCUUAAGUUUUAUCCUGGUUCAAGGUAUUGACACUUUACAUGCAAACUAAUUUUAUGUUCAUAUGCUCUAGUAUGCCAAUGAAUGUUCCAUACCAGUGCCAGAGAGAGAGAGAUCUUAGCUCAAGACCAAAUAUUAUGUUGAUUGUGUGGGCAGAAUUAAUUUUUUUUAUUUUUUAUUUUAUUUCUUACUUUUUCCCCAAUUCAUAGACCCCCAGGGCAGUGUUGAAAAAUGAUUUAAAAACAGAUACAAAUGAAAAUAUGCUAUUGUUCUACAUUCAAGACGUCUUGGAGCUGAGAAGCCAUGACAUGCUCCAGUACUGUAUCCAAGGAUGACAUGGCAUGAUAUGGUUGGGGGUUGAAUAAGGAUCUAACCAUCAUCUUUUUAGGCAGUCUGGAAUAGUGCUUUGUUCUGGCGAGGGAUUCGCCACUGUGCAUAAUUUAUACCUCUCUCAGUUUUCCUUGACACAGAAUCUCAUCAGGAGUACAUGCAAACUUAAGUCACCCUUUGGCCCCAAUAAGCCUAUCUGGCAUCCAACAUAGUGUAGUGGAAACAGGGCUUUGAGGAAACGUGAAUGGUAUUACUCUAUCCAACGUUAUCUUUAUAAGGGCCCUGUGAGGCAGGUUAGGUUGAGACAAUGGUCCAAGAUCGUUGAUUGAGCUUCAUGGGCAAAGGUGGAUUCGAACCCCAGUCACCUGAGUCUUCGUCCAGCAUUCCAGCCGUGGCCGUAUGAUGAUUCCCCAGCUUAGCUUAGGUCCAAUCCUCACCGAAGCUAUGUGGGGGAGAUGAGGUGUUUCUCCAACAUCAAUACGUUGUCGUGAGCCAUCCCAUUUGAAAAUCAAAAUAUUUGGAGAUAUCUGAGGGCUUGAGUGGACAAACGCAGCCUUUUAUUUUAUCUCUGUGUUGCUUCUCAAGGAGAUAAACUAAAAAAAUAACUAGAAUCUGGUUGGUUGGUGUGAAUCAACCCAGCUGCUUGUAUUACCGGUCUUUGUGCUUUCUGCUGUCGAACCCAUCCCAAAUGAAUAUUUUCACUUCAGCCUUUUACCAAGACACCACUAGUUUUGUCGGGAAGUAAAUGGAGUUGUGAAGUUUCUCCCGAACAUGGAACGUCUCUACAGGUAGAAUAAAGAAUUGCUACCCAGAUUAUGACA
Long non-coding RNA from Pogona vitticeps (central bearded dragon), 1586 nucleotides. The record is from Ensembl. Lineage: Eukaryota; Metazoa; Chordata; Lepidosauria; Squamata; Agamidae.